RNAcentral lists this transfer RNA (71 nucleotides) under Marmota monax (woodchuck). RNAcentral describes it as "tRNA.Ala". Lineage: Eukaryota; Metazoa; Chordata; Mammalia; Rodentia; Sciuridae. The record is from RNAcentral.
GGGGUCGUGGCUCAGUGGUAGAGUGCUCACCUCGCACAUGUGAGGCACUGGGUUCCAUCCUCAACACCACA